GCGAGCGUAGUCUAGUGGUUAUGAUGUCUGCUUUACACGCAGAAGGUCGGGAGUUCGACCCUCCCCGCUCGUA
Molecule: transfer RNA, 73 nt
Filed under: Pyrenophora teres f. teres 0-1
Lineage: Eukaryota; Fungi; Ascomycota; Dothideomycetes; Pleosporales; Pleosporaceae
Description: tRNA-Val (TAC) (tRNA-Val-TAC-1-1)
Rfam family: tRNA
About the family: Transfer RNA (tRNA) molecules are approximately 80 nucleotides in length. Their secondary structure includes four short double-helical elements and three loops (D, anti-codon, and T loops).
Source: RNAcentral